CACACCGCCCGUCAAGCCACGAAAGUCGGGAGCACCCGAAGUCGUCGAUCCAACCCGCAAGGGAGGAAGGCGCCGAAGGUGAGCUCGAUGAUUGGGACUAAGUCGUAACAAGGGUAUC
This 118-nucleotide ribosomal RNA is filed under the name uncultured bacterium. RNAcentral describes it as "partial 16S ribosomal RNA". It matches the Rfam family "Bacterial small subunit ribosomal RNA", at positions 1386 to 1501 of the family's 1533-position model. The record is from RNAcentral.